RNAcentral lists this ribosomal RNA (448 nucleotides) under uncultured bacterium. Its description in RNAcentral is "partial 16S ribosomal RNA". It matches the Rfam family "Bacterial small subunit ribosomal RNA", at positions 338 to 795 of the family's 1533-position model. The record is from RNAcentral.
CCUACGGGGGGCUGCAGUGGGGAAUCUUGGACAAUGGGGGCAACCCUGAUCCAGCAAUGCCGCGUGUGGGAUGAAGGCCUUCGGGUUGUAAACCACUUUUGGCGGGGGCGAAAUAUCGAAUGAUAAUACCAUUCGGUGAUGACGGUACCCGCAGAAUAAGCACCGGCUAACUACGUGCCAGCAGCCGCGGUAAUACGUAGGAUGCAAGCGUUAAUCGGAAUUACUGGGCGUAUAGCUUACGCAGGCGGUUAAUUCCCGGGCUCAACCUGGGAACGGCAUUUGUGACUGCUUGACUAGAGUGCGGCAGAGGGGAGUGGAAUUCCGCGUGUAGCAGUGAAAUGCGUAGAUAUGCGGAGGAACACCGAUGGCGAAGGCAACUCCCUGGGCCUGCACUGACGCUCAUGCACGAAAGCGUGGGGAGCAAACAGGAUUAGAUACCCUGGUAGUC